RNAcentral lists this small nucleolar RNA (243 nucleotides) under Nakaseomyces glabratus. RNAcentral's name for it is "Candida glabrata Small nucleolar RNA snR11". It matches the Rfam family "Small nucleolar RNA snR11". Lineage: Eukaryota; Fungi; Ascomycota; Saccharomycetes; Saccharomycetales; Saccharomycetaceae. The record is from Rfam by way of RNAcentral.
UACAAUGUCUUUUAUUUAAUAGACGCCCAGAGUCACGGUGCAAUCUUUUUCUAACAUAGAUGUUAUGAGUAACCCUCACGGUCUGGAUGUCGUUUUACCUUCUCCAGACUGCCGUGCUCGCGGUUGUUCUUAGAGCAAACCAGUACUCUAUUCCAUUGAAAUAUAUGGAGGGGUAGUGAGUGGAUCUUCCCUGGAAGUAUGAAUUUGAAUAUACUUAUGAUUAGAUUUUCUUCACGCACAUUU